GAGUUUGAUCAUGGCUCAGGACGAACGCUGGCGGCGUGCCUAACACAUGCAAGUCGCACGGGGGAGCAAUCCCCAGUGGCGAACGGGUGCGUAACACGUGAGGAACAUACCUAUCGGCGGGGGAUAGCCGGCCCAACGGCCGGGUAAUACCGCGUACGCUCCUCGGGAGGCAUCUCCUGGGGAGGAGAGCAGCAAUGCACCGAUAGAGUGCCUCGCGGCCUAUCAGCUAGUUGGUGAGGUAACGGCUCACCAAGGCGACGACGGGUAGCUGGUCUGAGAGGAUGAUCAGCCACAUUGGGACUGAGACACGGCCCAGACUCCUACGGGAGGCAGCAGUGGGGAAUCUUGCGCAAUGGGCGAAAGCCUGACGCAGCGACGCCGCGUGUGGGAUGAAGGUCUUCGGAUCGUAAACCACUGUCGCGAGGGACGAAUUCAUUGACGGUACCUCGAAAGGAAGCACCGGCUAACUCUGUGCCAGCCGCCGCCGU
Molecule: ribosomal RNA, 488 nt
Filed under: uncultured delta proteobacterium
Lineage: Bacteria; Deltaproteobacteria
Description: bacterial SSU rRNA
Rfam family: Bacterial small subunit ribosomal RNA
Source: RNAcentral